RNAcentral lists this long non-coding RNA (2010 nucleotides) under Oryctolagus cuniculus (rabbit). RNAcentral describes it as "lncRNA (ENSOCUG00000033601.1)". The record is from RNAcentral. Lineage: Eukaryota; Metazoa; Chordata; Mammalia; Lagomorpha; Leporidae.
GUUUAAUCUAUGCAUGAUUUCAAAGCCAAUGUGCUUUUUCAUGAUAAUAUGGUAUUCAAAUACAAAGCUUUGAGGUAUUUAUUCACUUUUUUGUUGUUCUUAAUAUUCUAGGGAUUGUUUUAAGGGAGGGCAGAAAGUGGAAGGGUUCGCUCAUGGGUAAGGGCUCCAUUAACAUGGACAAGAUAAGGAAACAUCCAGAAUGUCCAGAAUAUGAAAGGUGAACAUGAUAGAUGACAAGCUCUAGAGCCUUCUCCAAGCACUGUAGAGAGGUUGAUGCAGAAGUCAGAGGAAGGUGAGUUCCCCAAGCCAUCCGUGUCUCUGCUAAAUCAGUAUCUGUCAGAGCCCAGCAAGCAAGAGAGAAAUGCUUCAAGGAGGACAGACCUCUCAAGGUUCCCUGUAGUCUGCAGGUGAAGCCCUCAACCAGCAGGAACGCAUUUUGCAAGGACCCACGAAAGGUAGCAGAUGGGCAGCAGGCAGAAUUAUGGCUCCCUUUCUACUUCCACAGUAGGAUUUAAGUGUCAAGAAAGGGGAAAAGUGUCCAGGAAAAUUGCUUCUCAAGACAGACAUUGAGUGUCUGGACUGGAAACUUGAUUGGAGAUUAGAGAGUCAAGUCUGCUGGCAGGAUAUUUUGAGUCACAGAGAUUCUCAGACAAGGUGAGGAGGCUUUGUUAUGGCACAGGAAAAUCUUUCACCAUUUGAGGAGCAGGGUCUCUCCAAGGUGUUCCAUGGGAACAUGCUUCCUCUACUGCCUUCCUCCUCCUUUCAUUUCCUCUUGUCCUCUUUGUUUGCUUGUCCCAGGCAAGGUUUCUCAAUGCAGUGUUUGUGUUCUGCACAGCCUGGGGAAUUCCCCAAAGCUGUGUGCAUGGCUAAAGUUAGAACAAGUGAAGAGAGCAAAGAACCAAGAAGGCCCAAUCACCAUCCAUACUGAUCAACAAAGAAGUUCUACAUUUUGUUUGUUUGAUACAGGAUCAUUUGCAAACAUGCAGGAAGACACCUACAGUGCAGAGUAAUAACAAGUGACAUAUGGGGAGGCACAGUGCUCCCAGGGAAGCUAAACAGAGCACUUUCCUCCUGGCUGCAGCAUGUCAGAAUGUGGCAGUACUGCAUUUAUACAUUCCUGACUGAAAACUGGUAUUUCCACUGGUACAAGCUACAGACCUGGGCAAAAUGGUGAGAUGAGUUUCUUAUAUUUUUAAAUUUUUCCCCCUUUCCUCCUUUCUCAUUGCUCAUAAGCACCAGUGCCAUUGUGCUCUCCAUCCUUUCUCCUCUAACUCAAAAAUAACCUCAGCUCCUUUGGAGAUAGUUAUUAAUUAAUUGAUUGAACAAAUAACCACCAAAUAUUUGCUCUGUGCCAAGUACUGGGUUCUAUUUUCAAUCAUCAACAUCAGGAAACACCAGUGAAUUUGAUGGACAAGUUUCUCCCAACAGACCUUUUUUCUUCCAACUCUGGGCUUAAAAAAAAAUCCCCAAAAACCUUCCUGAAAGAAGUGAGUCUAAUUUCCUGGCUACGCACAGCAAUCGAAUCAGCGCUAUUAAGUUUGCUAAGCAAACAACAUUCCGGGAGUGUUUCAUUUCAUUAAACUGUUAUUCCAGUUUGGAAAGCACUGGGGUAAGGUGAAGGGAGCAGAUAAAAAAAAACUACAGGAGAGAAUUUGAGUCAGUUCUUUUUUCAGUUUCCAGGAUUUGCCCUGAUGAGAUAGUUAUAAACCACUAGCUUUCAGGAGUGAUGGGGAGGAAGGCUUAGCAAGGUAAUUCUGACAUUGCAAUGGCCCAAGAGAAGCACAUUUCCACCAUGGGAUUUACUAUGUCAAAGCUGGGUGACUGAUCAUUCUGCUCUUGUAUCAACUGUUUGUUAGCUUCCUUCUGAGCUACAGGUCAGGGCACACUCUAAACAGUAGGAGGAAUAUGAAUUCUGGCAGAGACUGUGGGUUCCACAGGGUAUCCAAAUCUUUAAAGGAACAGAUGAAUAUUUGCAUAACCUUCCGCCUGGAAGACAGCAGGCAGUGUUAA